Schistocerca serialis cubense is the source of this 368-nucleotide long non-coding RNA. RefSeq lists it as uncharacterized. The record is from RefSeq and is a predicted model, not a curated record. Lineage: Eukaryota; Metazoa; Arthropoda; Insecta; Orthoptera; Acrididae. The transcript is spliced from 3 exons.
GGAGCCCGCCCUCCAGAGUUGAAAUGUUCUGAUCGGUGCAUAGAACUGGCAAAACAGACUAAUUAUGAACCAGAUCCCCUUACGUGUGGUCCCAUAGUUACUGAAUAUAGGAAAGCUGGGUGCGACGACCGAUGCCUGCUGUACCAGCCUAGACCUGCUUCAACAGAGGAAGGCGGAUCGGCUCGCAUCAACGCGCGAUCCCACUCGCGUAAAUUGGCUGCACAUCGUUCCAGACAUGCUCCUCUGCACCACCGCAGUAAUCACCACUAGAGGCAGAAGUGGCUUGUAUGAUGUUUCUAUACCUUGAGUAAUAUCAGCACCAUAUACAGAAAUAAUCUGCACAACAAUUAAAGAACUACCACAAAUUA